This 429-nucleotide ribosomal RNA is filed under the name bacterium. RNAcentral's name for it is "partial 16S ribosomal RNA". It matches the Rfam family "Bacterial small subunit ribosomal RNA", at positions 355 to 776 of the family's 1533-position model. The record is from RNAcentral.
UAGGGAAUCUUCGGCAAUGGGGGCAACCCUGACCGAGCAACGCCGCGUGAGUGAAGAAGGUUUUCGGAUCGUAAAGAUCUGUUGUAAGAGAAGAACGUGUGUGAGAGUGGAAAGUUCACACAGUGACGGUAACUUACCAGAAAGGGACGGCUAACUACGUGCCAGCAGCCGCGGUAAUACGUAGGUCCCGAGCGUUGUCCGGAUUUAUUGGGCGUAAAGCGAGCGCAGGCGGUUUAAUAAGUCUGAAGUUAAAGGCAGUGGCUUAACCAUUGUUCGCUUUGGAAACUGUUAGACUUGAGUGCAGAAGGGGAGAGUGGAAUUCCAUGUGUAGCGGUGAAAUGCGUAGAUAUAUGGAGGAACACCGGUGGCGAAAGCGGCUCUCUGGUCUGUAACUGACGCUGAGGCUCGAAAGCGUGGGGAGCAAACAGG